This 379-nucleotide unclassified non-coding RNA is filed under the name uncultured Actinomycetes bacterium. RNAcentral's name for it is "uncultured actinobacterium contains 16S-23S intergenic spacer region". The record is from RNAcentral. Lineage: Bacteria; Bacillati; Actinomycetota; Actinomycetes.
UCCGAGUUGACCCCGGCAGUCUCACAUGAGUUCCCACCAUAACGUGCUGGCAACAUGCGACGAGGGUUGCGCUCGUUGCGGGACUUAACCCAACAUCUCACGACACGAGCUGACGACAACCAUGCACCACCUGUACACCAGUGUCCAAAGAGUUCCGCAUCUCUGCGGCGUUCUGGUGUAUGUCAAGCCUUGGUAAGGUUCUUCGCGUUGCAUCGAAUUAAUCCGCAUGCUCCGCCGCUUGUGCGGGCCCCCGUCAAUUCCUUUGAGUUUUAGCCUUGCGGCCGUACUCCCCAGGCGGGGCGCUUAAUGCGUUAGCUGCGGCACAGAGAACCGGAGAGGCCCCCCACACCUAGCGCCCAACGUUUACAGCGUGGACUAC